Molecule: ribosomal RNA, 272 nt
Filed under: Proteus mirabilis
Lineage: Bacteria; Pseudomonadati; Pseudomonadota; Gammaproteobacteria; Enterobacterales; Morganellaceae
Description: partial 16S ribosomal RNA
Rfam family: Bacterial small subunit ribosomal RNA
Source: RNAcentral
ACGGAGGGUGCAAGCGUUAAUCGGAAUUACUGGGCGUAAAGCGCACGCAGGCGGUCAAUUAAGUCAGAUGUGAAAGCCCCGAGCUUAACUUGGGAAUUGCAUCUGAAACUGGUUGGCUAGAGUCUUGUAGAGGGGGGUAGAAUUCCAUGUGUAGCGGUGAAAUGCGUAGAGAUGUGGAGGAAUACCGGUGGCGAAGGCGGCCCCCUGGACAAAGACUGACGCUCAGGUGCGAAAGCGUGGGGAGCAAACAGGAUUAGAAACCCGUGUAGUCC